UUUAAGCUGUUAGACGGAUAGCUUGGUUUGGAUUGUGAUGAAGGACGUGGCAAGCUGCGAUAAGCCUUGGGGAGCCGCAUGCGGGCUUUGAACCAAGGAUCUCCGAAUGCGAAAACGUGUUCUUAUGAAAAUCCCGAGAGGGAAGCACACGCCGGGAAUUGAAACAUCUUAGUACCGGCAGGAAAAGAAAUCAAUCGAGAUUCCCCCAUUAGCAGCGAGCGAAAAGGGAAUAGGGCAAACCGAAUCCUUGUCUGAAAAGGCGUAGGAGAUGUGGUGGAGUUGAGCCUAAGGAAUCGAGGCGAAGUUGACUGGAACGUCGUGCGUUACAGGGUGAUAGCCCCGUAGCCGAAGAUUCUAUGGCAUGCUCCGAAAGAGUAGGGCUACCUAGAAAGGUGGUCUGAACACGGCGGGAUUAACCGCCAACCCUAAAUAUAAAUCCAAGUCCGAUAGCGAACUUAGUACCGCGAGGGAAAGCUGAAAAGUACCCUUAAUAGGGGGUUAAAAGACUUGAAAUCUAACAGUGACAGCUGGUUACGGCAUUACGGUGUUGUAACGUACGUUUUGAAAAAUGAGCCACGGAGUGUAUCUGUGUGGCGAGGUUAAAUUGAAGCCACAGCGAAAGCGAGUCUGAAAGGGCGCUAGUCACCCAGAUACGACCCGAAGCCGGAUGAUCUAUUCCUGAGCAGGUCGAAGUUUUUCGAAAGGAGAAUGGAGGACCGAACCAGUGCUAUGUGCAUGUGCUUGGAUGACUUGGGAAUAGGGGUGAAAAGCCAAUCUAAUUCGGCAAUGGCUGGUUCCUGUCGAAAUAUGCCGUAGUAUAGUCUAAUUGUGCUUGCUAGCGGGGUAAAGAUACGGAUAAGGUCCGCAGGACCGCAAGGUUACGGGACCCCUUCCAACUCAGAACCUGUUGGCUGUAUACAAUUGGAAUGGGGGGCAGGGCGUAAGGUUCUGUUCCGAAACGCGAACAAGCGAGACUGAAGUUAAGGUCCCAAAAUAUAUGCUAAGUGUAACAAACUAAGUCUUAAACCUGAGACACUAGGGAUGUAGGCCCAGAAGCAGCCAUCAUUCAAAGAAAGCGUAACAGCUCACCUAUUGAGGUUUGAGGCGGGGAAAAUGGACGGGGCUAAGCAUAUUACCGAUACUUCAGAGGCACUCGAAAGAGUGUUCUGGUAGGCAGGCGUCCCUUCUGCGCAGAAGCGUUCUCGAAAGAGUGCGUGGAGCGGGAGGGAACGAGGAUCGUGGUGUAAGUAAGAUCGAAUUGCCCUGAGAACGGGCAACGCCGAAAGAGCAAGGUUUCCUUGGCACUAUCGUUUAACCAAGGGUUAGUCGGCACCUAAGUCACACCUUAACUGGCUGUGGCGAAUGGACAUCCGGUUAAUAUUCCGGAACUGUUGCAAUGUUCCGCACGUACUGCUUUCGGAUACGCGGAGGGCCGAGAGGUCCAAUCAAGGAGAAAAACGUCGAGCGUAAUGCAUAGACGCGUUUGAAUGCUUGGUGAAUCCGCAGACUCCAGGAGCCCAUGAAAAAUACGUGUCUAACGCGUUGCAAUAGCCGUACCAAGAACCGACACUAGUGCUCUAGCUGAGAAGGCUAAGGCGUGAAAGGAUAAUUUGGUUAAGGGAACUCGGCAAUUUGGCCCUGUAUCUUCGGUACAAGGGGUGUCUAUAAAUGUGCUUGAUUUAUUAGGUGCGUUCGUAGAUCGCAGUAACAAGGACUGCCCGACUGUUUAUCAAAAACGUAGCUGAGUGCAAAUCCUAAAGGACUAGUAUACUCAGUGAGACCUGCCCAGUUGCGGUGUGUCAAAGUUCAGUUCAAUGGACCUAAGCCCCGUAAAACGGCGGGCCUAACUAUGAGGCUUGAGCUUGUGGUGAAAUUCCACUAAGCUUUAAUCAAUAAGGGCCUCAAUAAAUUUGGCUAUAUGCUGGAACACGAUGUAGAAGUUGUGAUAGGAAGUUAAUUCCGCAAGGAGUUAAUGAUCACUGAAAAUUCACAAUAGAGUCGCAAUCAGCAGGAAAGGCUUCUCUUUGAGAAGAAUCCCCAGAGACUACACGCCAAACAUCAAAUAAUUUUUCGUAAAGCGAAGCAUCGUGACUAAGUCUGAUGCGAAGCAAUGAUUUGAUGAUGAUAUAGUCCAACAAAUAAUGUUAUUUGUGCUUAAGGUAGCGUAAUGCCUUGUCGUCUGAAUGGCGACGUGCAUGAAUGGUUUAACGAGGUAGUCGCUGUCCCUAACCAACACCUUCUGAACUCACUUUACCGGUGAACAAGCCGGUGACUCCUAGUGGGAAGCUGAGACCUUGUGGACCUUUACUGCAACUUGUUGUUGCGGUGUCCAGCGAAAUGCAUAGCAUAAGUGGGAGCGUCGAUGGUUAGCUUAGGCGAAACCGGAGCGACCUUGUAAUACCACUCAUUCCGCUGAACAUUGCUAACUCUCUUUGGGAGGACAUCAGCAGGCGGGCAGUUUGGCUGGGGCGGCACCCUCCAGAAAAGAUAUCUGGAGGGCCCAAAGUUAAGCUCAGUCAGGUUGGAAAUCUGACGUUGAGUGCAGAAGCAAAAGCUUAACUGACUGUAUCUCGCACAGCAACGGAUGCAGAGAUGAAAGUCUGGUUCAGCGACCCCACGUGAUCUUUUAAUAGGAUCCGUGUGUGACAGAAAAGGUACCCCAAGGAUAAUUGGCUGGUCGCGCCCGAUAGUCCAUAUUGACGGCGCGGUUUGGUGCGUCGCUGUCGGCUCUUCCUAUCCUGGUACUGCACAAGGUACCAAGGGUGUCGGAGUUCACGCA
RNAcentral lists this ribosomal RNA (2779 nucleotides) under Candidatus Pacearchaeota archaeon UBA73. RNAcentral's name for it is "bacterial LSU rRNA". It matches the Rfam family "Archaeal large subunit ribosomal RNA", at positions 12 to 2656 of the family's 2987-position model. Lineage: Archaea; Nanobdellati. The record is from RNAcentral.